UCCAUAUCUCUGGCUAUACUGUGUGGUUCCCGCGUUGAUCAUAAAAUUUUAUUUCAGUUCAUUGGUGUGUGACAAAGCUACAUGCACUUCAAACAAUUUUAGAUGAGACAUGCCAUAUGUUCCAAUAGGGACACACUGGGAUAUUAUUUUUCUUCUAUACAAGCGUUAUUCCUGCUUUUGUUUUUCCCAUCUCGACAUAGUUUUUGAAUUUUCUAAUGACCCAUCCUUCCGAAUUUAUAUUAUUUGCUUUGUAAAUAUGCUUACAGAGUUUUCAUUAUCAACCAACUUCAAGAUAUGAUUUUAUUAAUUUGUUUUCUGUUUAAUUUAUUAUUGUUCUGUUUGCCCCUUCUUGGAAGACAUAGAUGUUUCAACACAGUUUAUUUGAAAAGAGUUUUGUCCUACCUGUCAUAUAUACUCAUCACAUGGCAAUAUAUGAAUGAUAUCC
Molecule: small RNA, 445 nt
Filed under: Oryza sativa Japonica Group (Japanese rice)
Lineage: Eukaryota; Viridiplantae; Streptophyta; Magnoliopsida; Poales; Poaceae
Description: sRNA Os05g0232632
Source: RNAcentral